AAUCUUCCGCAAUGGACGAAAGUCUGACGGAGCAACGCCGCGUGAGUGAUGAAGGCUUUCGAGUCGUAAAGCUCUGUCCUAGGGGACGAUAAUGACGGUACCCUAGGAGGAAGCCCCGGCUACCUACGUGCCAGCAGCCGCGGUAAUACGUAGGGGGCGAGCGUUGUCCGGAAUUAUUGGGCGUAAAGGGUUCGCAGGCGGCCUUUUAAGUCAGAUGUGAAAGCCCACGGCUUAACCGUGGUAAGCAUUUGAAACUGGAAGGCUUGAGUUAAGGAGAGGAAAGUGGAAUUCCUAGUGUAGCGGUGAAAUGCGUAGAUAUUAGGAGGAAUACCAGUGGCGAAGGCGACUUUCUGGACUUAUACUGACGCUGAGGAACGAAAGCGUGGGGAGCAAACAG
This 397-nucleotide ribosomal RNA is filed under the name uncultured bacterium. Its description in RNAcentral is "partial 16S ribosomal RNA". It matches the Rfam family "Bacterial small subunit ribosomal RNA", at positions 360 to 775 of the family's 1533-position model. The record is from RNAcentral.